Molecule: ribosomal RNA, 497 nt
Filed under: uncultured bacterium
Lineage: Bacteria
Description: partial 16S ribosomal RNA
Rfam family: Bacterial small subunit ribosomal RNA
Source: RNAcentral
GAUGAACGCUGGCGGCGUGCCUAAUACAUGCAAGUCGAGCGAACGGACGAGAAGCUUGCUUCUCUGAUGUUAGCGGCGGACGGGUGAGUAACACGUGGAUAACCUACCUAUAAGACUGGGAUAACUUCGGGAAACCGGAGCUAAUACCGGAUAAUAUUUUGAACCGCAUGGUUCAAAAGUGAAAGACGGUCUUGCUGUCACUUAUAGAUGGAUCCGCGCUGCAUUAGCUAGUUGGUAAGGUAACGGCUUACCAAGGCAACGAUGCAUAGCCGACCUGAGAGGGUGAUCGGCCACACUGGAACUGAGACACGGUCCAGAGGCCUACGGUAGGCAGCAGUAGGGAAUCGUCCGCAAUGGGCGAGAGCAUGACGGAGCAACGCCGCGUGAGUGAUGGAGGUCUUCGGAUCGUAAAACUCUGUUAUUAGGGAAGAACAUAUGUGUAAGUAACUGUGCACAGCUUGACGGUACCUAAUCAGAAAGCCACGGCUAACUACGUG